RNAcentral lists this ribosomal RNA (440 nucleotides) under uncultured bacterium. RNAcentral describes it as "partial 16S ribosomal RNA". It matches the Rfam family "Bacterial small subunit ribosomal RNA", at positions 338 to 795 of the family's 1533-position model. The record is from RNAcentral.
CCUACGGGCGGCAGCAGUGGGGAAUAUUGCACAAUGGGGGAAACCCUGAUGCAGCGACGCCGCGUGAGUGAAGAAGUAUUUCGGUAUGUAAAGCUCUAUCAGCAGGGAAGAAAAUGACGGUACCUGAUUAAGAAGCCCCGGCUAACUACGUGCCAGCAGCCGCGGUAAUACGUAGGGGGCAAGCGUUAUCCGGAUUUACUGGGUGUAAAGGGAGCGUAGACGGCAGCACAAGUCUGGAGGGAAAUGCCGGGGCUUAACCCCGGAACUGCUUUGGAAACUGUGCAGCUUGAGUGCAGGUGAGGUAGGUGGAAUUCCUAGUGUAGCGGUGAAAUGCGUAGAUAUUAGGAGGAACACCAGUGGCGAAGGCGGCUUACUGGACUGUAACUGACGUUGAGGCUCGAAAGCGUGGGGAGCAAACAGGAUUAGAUACCCUUGUAGUC